This 117-nucleotide ribosomal RNA is filed under the name Periophthalmus magnuspinnatus. Lineage: Eukaryota; Metazoa; Chordata; Actinopteri; Gobiiformes; Gobiidae. The record is from RNAcentral.
CUUGUUGGUUUCUUUUGCUGUCAAAGCCUGAUCUUAUCAGAUCUCAGAAGCUAAGCAAAGCUGGGUGUGGUUAGUACUUGGAUAGGAGAGAGCUGGGAAUACCAGGUGCCAGAGAGG